CCUACGGGGGGCAGCAGUGAGGAAUAUUGGUCAAUGGACGAGAGUCUGAACCAGCCAAGUAGCGUGAAGGAUGACUGCCCUAUGGGUUGUAAACUUCUUUUAUAUGGGAAUAAAAUGUUCCACGUGUGGGAUUUUGUAUGUACCAUAUGAAUAAGGAUCGGCUAACUCCGUGCCAGCAGCCGCGGUAAUACGGAGGAUCCGAGCGUUAUCCGGAUUUAUUGGGUUUAAAGGGAGCGUAGGUGGAUUGUUAAGUCAGUUGUGAAAGUUUGCGGCUCAACCGUAAAAUUGCAGUUGAAACUGGCAGUCUUGAGUACAGUAGAGGUGGGCGGAAUUCGUGGUGUAGCGGUGAAAUGCUUAGAUGUCACGAAGAACUCCGAUUGCGAAGGCAGUUCACUGGACUGCAACUGACACUGAGGCUCGAAAGUGUGGGUAUCAAACAGGAUUAGAUACCCGUGUAGUC
RNAcentral lists this ribosomal RNA (460 nucleotides) under uncultured bacterium. RNAcentral describes it as "partial 16S ribosomal RNA". It matches the Rfam family "Bacterial small subunit ribosomal RNA", at positions 338 to 795 of the family's 1533-position model. The record is from RNAcentral.